This is a long non-coding RNA of Formica exsecta, 665 nucleotides long. RefSeq lists it as uncharacterized. The record is from RefSeq and is a predicted model, not a curated record. The transcript has 2 exons. NCBI's taxonomy places the organism in Eukaryota, Metazoa, Arthropoda, Insecta, Hymenoptera, Formicidae.
CGCAGGGCCUAAGGUUAAAACCCGUUCAUUCAAAAACGCUGAUAGAUUACGAAUCAAUAUACCCUAGAAUAGAAAUUCUAUGGUCAACUUCCCACUUAUUGUCACGUGACCGAUUUUAGUUCACUUCUAUCUCGUAUCAGAAAUAGAAGGCGCAAGUCGGCUUCUUUUCCAAAAGAGAGUUUGCGCACUCUGGUCAUACAAUUUAUCUUGAGGGAUGGCACCAAGAUAUGAAUUGGCUGUUGGGCUUAGGGUUGCCACCCGUACUUUAAAAUAAAGUAUUGUACGUUAUUUUGGACGUACAUACUUUAUAUUUUGUAAAGCAAUAAAGUACGCUAAAAUACUUUAUUUUACGAAUACUAAGUUUUCAUUAACACGUUCACGGCGGAUGUUACCGUGUCGCGUAUAUGUGAUUUAUUAUUAUGAGCGCAUUCCGUUUCACACAUUGAGCGCAUAGAUCGCCUGGAAAUCUAUAGUUCACGUAACAUAUAUUAGUAUUAGAGGAACAAAGCUUCUCUAAAUUUAAUUAAAAAUGAGUUGUUGAUAUAUUUAAAUUUAAAUAUCGGUUGUAAAGACGCUGUAGAAGUCUUUAAAAAAGACAAACACUUAUUAGAUAUUGCUAAAAGUAAUAAAAAAUAUGCAUGGAAAAAUAAAUAAUAUAAAAAAUA